Molecule: long non-coding RNA, 1072 nt
Filed under: Sus scrofa (pig)
Lineage: Eukaryota; Metazoa; Chordata; Mammalia; Artiodactyla; Suidae
Description: lncRNA (ENSSSCG00040000693.1)
Source: RNAcentral
GAAAGAAAGAGUCUGCCAGGCCUCUUUGUUAGGUUCUUCUGAGGACUCGUGUUCUUUUACAGAUGGAACUAGCUUAAGUGACAGCCCGCAAGUGAGGACACUAGCAGAAUGGCUUGGAUGGUGAAAGCCAGCGAAAGGAAAGGCAGGCUUCCCCCACCCCCCACCCGGGCAGGUGCUUGUGCUUAUCUGUGAAUAGGCAACAGGGAAAUGGCAGAGGGUUAGGCAAAGGGAGCAGACAGCAGGGACAGAGCGUCCCUCCCGCCCUGUCUGGAGAAAUCAGCAGAUUGCACACCUGCUACUGCACAGGCUGCCGCUGCCAAGCCCUACAGCACAGCUGCAAGACACUGGGCUUCUGGCCGGCCACUCUGAGCUUUGCCUGUCUUCAGGGAUGGAGCCCCUCCCAAGGCAAGUUCAACUGGGUUCUCUGGCAGCCGAAGUCUACAUGGCCCCUGCAGGGAGUGGUGGAGAAAAGUUUAUUCAUUUUGAUGAGAGAGCUCGCUCAGAGAAAUAGUCAAUAAAGCAGUGUAUUGCAAACGAAGCCACAAAUCUGACAAGAAAGGUACUUAAGGUAAGGAAAAAGAUGGGGUUGCCUUUUUACGAUGUGUUAGAAAAAGUCAUCCUGGAAAAAUCUGGCUGUGGAGGCCAACCAUUAUUCACUCUGGGGGAAUGCAUCAUGUAAAAGAUCUCCUGGUUUUAGGAACUCUUACAAUGACCUAUGUUGUCCUGGGUGCUUGACUCAGGAUCGUGGACCAAGUUUCAAUCUAAGAAAGAAUGUUGACUUAAUGCACCACCUUUCCCUGGGCCAAGUUCCCUUCUUUGUAAUCUCCCAAGUGUUAUAUUUAAUUUACAUUUGCAGUAGAAAAUAUGUGAACAUGGGAUCCAGCCCACGGAUUAAUUAUUUGGGCUUUCUAAAUUCAGAAUUUGCUUACUGAAGCAGAAGUUUCUGAAUUUUAUCUCUUUACUGAAAUCUCCACAAAUCGAAGUUCCUUUUAGACUUGCAGGAUUCAGGAGUCCGAUAACCUGAAAAUGACCAUCCAAUAAAAUUAUUGUACCUUUCCUCGGUGUUUCUGUU